Molecule: ribosomal RNA, 254 nt
Filed under: uncultured bacterium
Lineage: Bacteria
Description: partial 16S ribosomal RNA
Rfam family: Bacterial small subunit ribosomal RNA
Source: RNAcentral
UACGGAGGGGGCAAGCGUUGUUCGGAAUUCCUGGGCGUAAAGGGCGCGCAGGCGGCUGCUCAAGUCAGGCGUGAAAGGCCUGGGCUCAACCCGGGAAUUGCGCUUGAGACUGGGCUGGCUUGAGUGCGGGAGAGGAUGGUGGAAUUCCCAGUGUAGAGGUGAAAUUCGUAGAUAUCUGGAGGAACACCGGUGGCGAAGGCGGCGUCCUGGACUGCAACUGACACUGAUGAACGAAAGCCAGGGGAGCAAACGGG